AUGUGCCGGGAUCGCCCCCCGUCAGCGAGUUUCGCCCACGGGGGACAUUGGC
This 52-nucleotide small RNA is filed under the name Shimia marina. RNAcentral's name for it is "ffh sRNA". It matches the Rfam family "ffh sRNA". The record is from Rfam by way of RNAcentral. Lineage: Bacteria; Pseudomonadati; Pseudomonadota; Alphaproteobacteria; Rhodobacterales; Roseobacteraceae. RNAcentral also lists the same sequence under 2 other names.